This is a long non-coding RNA of Patiria miniata (bat star), 653 nucleotides long. RefSeq lists it as uncharacterized. The record is from RefSeq and is a predicted model, not a curated record. NCBI's taxonomy places the organism in Eukaryota, Metazoa, Echinodermata, Asteroidea, Valvatida, Asterinidae. The transcript has 2 exons.
AAUUUAACUAAACAAGAAUAUUCUGAGUGGUCUGAAACAAAUAGGUCUUUAGGGCAACUUUAAAUUCAGAAAGCGAUGAGAUAUUGCGAAUGGCGAGGGGUAGUUUGUUCCAAAGAUGAGGACCUGCGUGAGAAAAUGAUCGAUCACCCUGUAAUGGUUGUGUUGAUUAUAUUUCUUGUUCUUCUAUAAUGACCCCUUUCUCUGGUUGUUUAUUCACUACAAACCUUGCAUUUACCUUGUUAUUUAUUCAUGUGACUUGAGGGAAGUCUACUCAGUGUGACUCGAGACAAGGCUAUACAAAGUAUUGAUUUUUCUAGUGGAGCCAAAAAUAGUAUUGAUUUAUGGAGCUGUGAUUUUGAACUUGUAUUUUGUGAAUAUUUCUUAGUCAAGGAAAAUGAACAUUAUGUUUAGAUUUUAAAGAAGAAUUAUGCUUAUCUUGAUUAGAAAUGUGUAUUAUCAAAUUAUUUGUCAUCAUAGGUUUGGCUUUAGAUCACUUUUGUGGAUUGUUCACUUGACGUGAACUGCACGUUGUUAAUUCACAGCUCCCAAACCAUGCGGUCGCGGCAAGGCCUAGGCUAGGCAGUGCCUGCCCGAUCUUUACAGGUGGCCCCACCUGGGCCGAUUCAGUUUGAAUAAACAAUCAGAGCAAGGGA